CAAUAGCGUAUAUUAAAGUUGUUGCGGUAAAAAAGCUCGUAGUUGGAUUUCUGUUGAGAGCGACCGGUCCAUACCAUGUAUGCGUAUCUGGCUUGCUCUCGGCAUCCUCUCGAUAGACGUUACCGCGCUUGAUUGCGUGGUGCGGAUCUCGGGACUUUUACUUUGAGGAAAUUAGAGUGUUCACGGCAGGCUUUCGCCAGAAUACAUUAGCAUGGAAUAAUACUAUAGGAUCUUGGUUCUAUUUUGUUGGUUUCUAGAAUUGAGAUAAUGAUUAAUAGGGACAAUUGGGGGCAUUCGUAUCAACACGUCAGAGGUGGAAUUCUUGGAUUGUGUUGCGACGAACUACUGCGAAAGCAUUUGCCAAGGAUGUUUUCAUUGA
This 379-nucleotide ribosomal RNA is filed under the name uncultured eukaryote. RNAcentral describes it as "partial 18S ribosomal RNA". It matches the Rfam family "Eukaryotic small subunit ribosomal RNA", at positions 592 to 976 of the family's 1831-position model. The record is from RNAcentral.